RNAcentral lists this ribosomal RNA (253 nucleotides) under uncultured bacterium. Its description in RNAcentral is "partial 16S ribosomal RNA". It matches the Rfam family "Bacterial small subunit ribosomal RNA", at positions 524 to 776 of the family's 1533-position model. The record is from RNAcentral.
GACAGAGGGUGCAAACGUUGUUCGGAAUUACUGGGCGUAAAGCGCGUGUAGGCGGCAACGCAAGUCGGGUGUGAAAGCCCUGGGCUCAACCUAGGAAGUGCACACGAAACUGCGUAGCUUGAGUUCUGGAGAGGAAGGCGGAAUUCUCAGUGUAGAGGUGAAAUUCGUAGAUAUCGAGAGGAACACCGGUGGCGAAGGCGGCCUUCUGGACAGCAACUGACGCUGAGACGCGAAAGCGUGGGGAGCAAACAGG